RNAcentral lists this unclassified non-coding RNA (2209 nucleotides) under Leishmania donovani. RNAcentral's name for it is "gene:LdHU3.14.1160(CDS-product:small_myristoylate d_protein-3_putative)". The record is from RNAcentral. Lineage: Eukaryota; Euglenozoa; Kinetoplastea; Trypanosomatida; Trypanosomatidae.
CAUCGUGAAGCUUCCUCAGGACUUUCACUCUAUCAGCGACAUCCCCGCCACACACCCCUCGCCCUCCCUCUCCUCACCGCCCCCUCCCCCACCCUACGCCCCUACCCACCAUCAUGUCUGAGAUCAAAUACGAGAACGGCCAGCCCGGCUACAGCGGCAACACCGUGGUGAAGUGCUUCAAGGACAACGGCAACGGGCUGCUGUUCCGCAUCGUGAACGACGAGGAGCACAAGUGGGCGUUCUACAACGACACCACGAACUACCAAAUGCUGGUGAAGGUCGCGUUCGGCAAGGACAGCAAGAUCGAGGCCAUCGGCAACACUACAAUGCAAAAAGACGAGGAGUCUGGCGAGUUCAAGUGCGAGCUGGAGAUUGCGCCGACGACGACAGAGAUGUUCAUCGAGGGCGAGCCGAACGGCUUCAAGAUCAGCUUCGAGGCUAACCCGAUUGCGAAGGCGUGAGGGGGCACCUUUGAGCGGGCAACGCGAGGCAGCUACGGACAUGUAGAGAGAGGAGGUAAGGGCGUGCGCGCGCUCACAAGCAAACAGGGACGCCAUGUAGAAGCGAUAGCAGAUCGCAAGCGCGAAAGAAAAAGGAGAGGGAGGGGUAGAGUGACAUCUGAGAAGAAGAGAGAAGAGGGUUGGCGUCUGUGGCGAAGAUAUGUAGUGCGUGCACUUUUCAAGUGCACCGCAGCAACAGUGAUUCCAGUCUCCGCAGUGUUCGACGCCGUCUCUCUCUCGCUUACGAUACCCUCUGUACCUCUCGCCCUCCUGCUCCCCUGUCGGUCAUCCUCACCAUGGGCGUGCUCCAGUGGCACGCGUGUCUCGCUAAACGCACGCUCCUGGGGGUACGGCCUGCCUCUCCACUCUUUUAGCCUCUCGCAUGCAUUUCUGUUACGCGCCGCUGUGAUGGAGAGUGCGAGAGUGGAGGGGCGUGAUGGACGCAUCGAUAGGGCGCGAAGUGUUCUCCCCCUUUUUCUUUUCGUAUUUUCAUGUUUGUUCUUUCUUUCGCUGCCUCGCAUCUUUUUCGUUUCGUUUUGCUGUUGUUGCGUGCGUGUGGUGUUUGUGAUGCCUCGCAUGCGCCUUGUGUCCUUGUCUUUCUUCAUCCUCCUCCUCUCUCGCCUGUAUAUAUAUAUAUAUAUAUUAUGUGCGUGCGUCUGUGUGCCCCGCACUCGCUCUCUCGAAGCCACGUCUUCGCUGCCAUGUUGUCCGCGAUUCAUCGUUUAUUUACCUUUUUCCUUUGAAAGCGGAAUUGGGGUGGUGGCGGUGGUGAUGGAUGGGUGUGGGUGGGUGUGUAUGAGCUUCUGAUCUUUGAGCGUCCCCCCCCCCCACUCCCUCCCUCCCUCCCUGCCCUUCUGCCCCCCCCCCCCCCGCCGCCGCACGCCUUCAUCGCCUCGGUUGUACGCUGUUCCGGUGAUCGCUUCCCUCUCUCACUACUUCUUCCUUUUCGCUCUUCCUCCGCACUCCCUCUCGUCUUCUCGCGUUCUGUGUCGCACAGCUUCUCCGGCAGAUGCACCGACGACACGCGCCACCGCAUGCAGACGCGCAUAUCUUCGUUUCUUCUUCGGCUCUUUGCUUCUGAGAUGGUUAUUGUGUAUUUUGCGGUGUGCACGAGGGGAGAGAAGGGAACGGAGCGAAGGCACUGAAAACUGUUUCAAGCAACGAACGCACACGCUUUAUGAAAAAAAAAGCGGGAAGUGAGAAAACAAGCGGGCAUGGGUGUGGAAAGAGGGGGGCAAGAGAGAAGAUCGAUCUUCCAAACUCUGGAGAAGGAAAAGGGGGUGGAGUGAAGUCUAGGAGAAUAGGAGAGGGUGGUGGGGGUGGUGCGUGCGUGCGUGCGGGUGACGGUGCAUGAUGCGAUCCGAAUGGGGUUGAGGCAUGCCCGUCAAUGCCCGCGUUGCGAGCAUGUCCGGAUGUGUGCGUUGGGGAGAUAAUGAUGUAUGUGUGUGUGGAAGAGAGAGGAAGGGACUCUGUCCGCUCCCAUGCACGGAUCGCAUUCCUCGCCUCUGAUAUCCCCUCACUCCCUCCGUGUUUCUAUUUCUCGCUCUCGCAUGCAUUCGCCCACCAACAUCACGCACCGCAAGCACACAUAGACACUUGUUCUGCGCCCCGCCCCUCCCCUCGCCCUUACCUCGUGCCGUCCCCCGCGGACGCCUUUCACCUCCCUCCCUUCUCUCGUCAGCACGACAUGUAGAGACAGAAGAUGCGGC